Molecule: unclassified non-coding RNA, 253 nt
Filed under: Hevea brasiliensis (rubber tree)
Lineage: Eukaryota; Viridiplantae; Streptophyta; Magnoliopsida; Malpighiales; Euphorbiaceae
Source: RNAcentral
CCUUCAUCCACUUCCACCUGCAAGCUGUCUUCGCCAACAAGCCUGAGAAGAUCCCUAAUAAGCCUUCCUCUUCCUCUGCUUUUACCUAUUUCCGCUUGAUCGAUACGUCUGCCAUGGCCACGACGAUGGUGAAGGAGAAUAACUCCGGACCCGCUCAGCUUCUGGGCCCCGAAUCUGCCUUUGAAAGAACACUGUACCCAUACGUCACCGGUACAUCUGUGGUGGCUUUGAAGUAUAAGGACGGAAUUUUGAU